UAAAAUUAUCAACUUAAAUUGAAUCUUUUAUUUCAGCUGAUCUGAUUUUUUUUUUUUUUUAAAAAAACGAAAAUAACAAGUAUCUUGCUUGUCCCUCAGGCUUCUUAAAAUUAGUGUCUGUUUCAAUUACAUCAAGCCUUUCAUUGAUCAAUAUGGGCACCUCUCUUGCAAGAGCAUCUCUCCCAUCCUUUGUAUCCAGUGAUUUUCUCGAGCAAAAUAUUGUGUCAAGAGAGUAUUUACCUCAUUACGUGUCCCAUCAUACAUAGGAGAAGAUAAAUUUUGUGUUCUGUCAACCUUUUUCUUAUUUAUUA
RNAcentral lists this long non-coding RNA (311 nucleotides) under Eucalyptus grandis. RNAcentral's name for it is "long non-coding RNA (EGRA_LNC004801)". The record is from RNAcentral. Lineage: Eukaryota; Viridiplantae; Streptophyta; Magnoliopsida; Myrtales; Myrtaceae.